UACGUAGGGGGCAAGCGUUAUCCGGAUUUACUGGGUGUAAAGGGAGCGUAGGUGGUUUGUUAAGUUGGAUGUGAAAUCCCCGAGCUUAACUUGGGAAUUGCAUUCGAUACUGGUUGGCUAGAGUAUGGGAGAGGAUGGUAGAAUUCCAGGUGUAGCGGUGAAAUGCGUAGAGAUUUGGAGGAAUACCAGUGGCGAAGGCGACCACCUGGACUGAUACUGACACUGAGGUGCGAAAGCGUGGGGAGCAAACAGG
RNAcentral lists this ribosomal RNA (253 nucleotides) under uncultured bacterium. RNAcentral's name for it is "partial 16S ribosomal RNA". It matches the Rfam family "Bacterial small subunit ribosomal RNA", at positions 524 to 776 of the family's 1533-position model. The record is from RNAcentral.